UCUAAGUUAAUGUAGAUAACCAUUUGAAGGAUGGAAGAGUCAACAAUCUUUGAGGAAUCCAAACCUAAGAAACCCUGUGAGAAACGGUACUGCGAGAGGUUGAUGGUCUGGGAACUAAUCUAACUGUCAACUAGUUCCUGCUUAAACGUGAGGUAAAAGUUUGAGCUGCUCUGAAGCUUGGGAGGAACGACUACUCGGAGGAGGCUAGUACCACACUCACGCCCGCUUCUUGAGGUGGUGCCUUGUGGUCAGCCCCGCGUCUAUCACAGCCCCGACCACCUGGCGCUUCCGUCGCCGGUCCCUGCUCAGCACCCUCCGGCGCUUGAAUAACUUCUUCUUCAGCUCCUGAGGGAGAAAAAGAUGCGCAGCAGAGUUCCGCCUGGCGCAAAGGCUCCGCCCGCCUUGCACCCAUGGACCAAUCGCAAUGCGAGGGGAGGGGCGGACUCCGUGCUUACAUAAACGAAUUCCGCGGCCGUACCGGUCUUUCGAAGGACGUCUUUCAUGUCUGUGGAUGACGCCCCGGAGUGACAGCUAACGUCUUUCCUUUAGCGGUUUAUUGUUGAACCAGUAAAGUCUGUGAACCCUAA
Molecule: long non-coding RNA, 587 nt
Organism: Microtus oregoni (creeping vole)
Lineage: Eukaryota; Metazoa; Chordata; Mammalia; Rodentia; Cricetidae
Exons: 3
Source: RefSeq, a predicted model, not a curated record